UUUGUAGAAUGAACCGGCGAGUUACGAUUUGUUGCAAGGUUAAGCGGAAAAAGCGGAGCCGUAGCGAAAGCGAGUCUGAAUAGGGCGCAUAAGUAACAGGUCGUAGACCCGAAACCAGGUGAUCUACCCAUGUCCAGGAUGAAGGUAAGGUAAUACUUACUGGAGGUCCGAACCCACGCACGUUGAAAAGUGCGGGGAUGAGGUGUGGGUAGCGGAGAAAUUCCAAUCGAACUUGGAGAUAGCUGGUUCUCUCCGAAAUAGCUUUAGGGCUAGCCUCGAGGUAAAGAGUCAUGGAGGUAGAGCACUGUUUGGACUAGGGGCCCUUCUCGGGUUACCGAAUUCAGAUAAACUCCGAAUGCCAUGUACUUAUACUCGGGAGUCAGACUGCGAGUGAUAAGAUCCGUAGUCGAAAGGGAAACAGCCCAGACCACCAGUUAAGGUCCCCAAAUAUAUGUUAAGUGGAAAAGGAUGUGGGGUUGCUUAGACAACCAGGAUGUUGGCUUAGAAGCAGCCACCAUUGAAAGAGUGCGUAAUAGCUCACUGGUCGAGUGACCCCGCGCCGAAAAUGUACCGGGGCUAAACAUAUUACCGAAACUGUGGAUGAACCUCUUUAGAGGUUCGUGGUAGGAGAGCGUUCUAAGGGCGGUGAAGUCAGACCGGAAGGACUGGUGGAGCGCUUAGAAGUGAGAAUGCCGGUAUGAGUAGCGAAAGAAGGGUGAGAAUCCCUUCCACCGAAUAUCUAAGGUUUCCUGAGGAAGGCUCGUCCGCUCAGGGUU
Molecule: ribosomal RNA, 776 nt
Filed under: Listeria monocytogenes
Lineage: Bacteria; Bacillati; Bacillota; Bacilli; Caryophanales; Listeriaceae
Description: bacterial LSU rRNA
Rfam family: Bacterial large subunit ribosomal RNA
Source: RNAcentral